Molecule: small nuclear RNA, 107 nt
Organism: Myotis lucifugus (little brown bat)
Lineage: Eukaryota; Metazoa; Chordata; Mammalia; Chiroptera; Vespertilionidae
Source: Ensembl
GUGCCUGCUUCGGCAGCACAGAGACUAAAAUUGGAACAGCAUAGGGAAGAUUAACCCGGCGCCUGUGAAAGGACGACGUGCAAAUUUAUGAAGCAGUCUAUAUUUUU